Molecule: long non-coding RNA, 1342 nt
Filed under: Homo sapiens (human)
Lineage: Eukaryota; Metazoa; Chordata; Mammalia; Primates; Hominidae
Description: GARS1 divergent transcript
Source: RNAcentral
GCAGGCUGCCAGGCUGGCGUACAGUGGCGCAAUCUCAGCUCGCUGCAACCUCCACCUCCUGGGUUCAAGCGAUUUUCUUGCCUCUGCCUCCUGAGUAGCUGGGAUUACUGGCACACACCACCAUGCACAGGGAGAUAUGAGACAUCAAUCAAUAUAUGUAAGAUGUACAUCAGUUUCGUCUGGAAAGAUGGGACAACAUGAAGCAGGGAGGGGGCUCCCUGGUGACAGUUCCUUGUUCAAAAUGCCAAGAACCUGGAUGACUCAUAGUCAAGACCCUCCACCAGUAACAUAUAUUGGCGAGCCAGCCAGGAGACCACUACAGGAAACACUCCAUUUAUUCCACCUGACUUCCCACUUGGCUGCAUCCUCAACCAUUGAAAUGAAUUUGACCCUGAUAAUCUAAGGAGGAAACAUUUGAUAUUCUUUUGCAAUAAUACUUGGCCCCAGUAUUGUUUGGAAUCUGGAGUUUGCUGUUGAAUGGGAAAGCAGGAUGACGUUGCAUGUAUCCAGGCUUUGGUGCUGCUGUCCUAAGAAGGGUCAGGCCUAGUCAGCAUAUGGUGCUCUCCUUUGGUGCUAUUUGGCUCCAGUGUCUUUGGAGUCUGAGGAGGUUUGGCCUUUAAAAAUCAAACUGCCACCGGAACUGCUUUAAAAAUGUUUGGUUCACAGCCUUCACUGGAUUACCUAUUGGAGCAAACAAAGUGUAACCAUGUAAAACCUGUGAGCUUGUAUUGAUAUCUCAUGGCUAGAGUUCCAAGCGAAUGGGUCUCAUGAGAUCUGAUGGUUUUGAAAAUGGGAGUUGCCCUGCACAAGCUCUCCUUUUGCCUGCUGCCAUCCACAUAAGAUGUGAUUUGCUCUUCCUUGCCUUCCACCAUGAUUGUGAGGCCUUCCCAGCAUGUGGAAAUGGUCCAGCCUGCAAUAACUGAAGCCCCCAGACCUGGAACCUGAAGAUCCCAUCAGCCACUAAACCUGUGAACCUGUAGAAGACCUGAAGUACCUGUUUAAAAGGCAGCCAAAAGAUAAGUAAAUUCCUAUCAACUUUCCUUGGUGUCCUUCUUGUAUAUUUACUGUAAGCUGGAUAUAAUAGUAGCCAUUUUUAUAUUUUUACAAUUUAAUUGCUUUCUUCCAAAUGGAUUGAAUCACUUCUUUUAAAGUGUUUUAAUUAAUUUUUAUCUAUAGAACAAAAUAACAAAUAAGUAUUUUUUUUUUAUACCAUAAUGGUCACCCACAGCCUGUGUAUACUAAGACCAUGCAUACUGAUAAUCAGCUUUAUUUUACAAAAGAGUUUCGCUUUACCCCUCUGGUAAUUAAUGGAUUCUGGGUAUUUAUUAAAAACUUUAACACA